GCAGGUGCGAAAGCAGGUCAUAGUGAUCCGGUGGUUCUGAAUGGAAGGGCCAUCGCUCAACGGAUAAAAGGUACUCCGGGGAUAACAGGCUGAUACCGCCCAAGAGUUCAUAUCGACGGCGGUGUUUGGCACCUCGAUGUCGGCUCAUCACAUCCUGGGGCUGAAGUAGGUCCCAAGGGUAUGGCUGUUCGCCAUUUAAAGUGGUACGCGAGCUGGGUUUAGAACGUCGUGAGACAGUUCGGUCCCUAUCUGCCGUGGGCGCUGGAGAACUGAGGGGGGCUGCUCCUAGUACGAGAGGACCGGAGUGGACGCAUCACUGGUGUUCGGGUUGUCAUGCCAAUGGCACUGCCCGGUAGCUAAAUGCGGAAGAGAUAAGUGCUGAAAGCAUCUAAGCACGAAACUUGCCCCGAGAUGAGUUCUCCCUGACCCUUUAAGGGUCCUGAAGGAACGUUGAAGACGACGACGUUGAUAGGCCGGGUGUGUAAGCGCAGCGAUGCGUUGAGCUAACCGGUACUAAUGAACCGUGAGGCUUAACCUUACAAC
This 543-nucleotide ribosomal RNA is filed under the name Escherichia coli. RNAcentral's name for it is "partial 23S ribosomal RNA". It matches the Rfam family "Bacterial large subunit ribosomal RNA", at positions 2393 to 2925 of the family's 2925-position model. The record is from RNAcentral. Lineage: Bacteria; Pseudomonadati; Pseudomonadota; Gammaproteobacteria; Enterobacterales; Enterobacteriaceae.